RNAcentral lists this unclassified non-coding RNA (329 nucleotides) under uncultured fungus. Its description in RNAcentral is "partial contains 5.8S ribosomal RNA and internal transcribed spacer 2". The stretch from base 1 to 134 matches the Rfam family "5.8S ribosomal RNA", at positions 22 to 154 of the family's 154-position model. Lineage: Eukaryota; Fungi. The record is from RNAcentral.
UGGUUCUGGCAUCGAUGAAGAACGCAGCAAAAUGCGAUAAGUAAUGCGAAUUGCAGAAUUUCCGUGAGUCAUCGAAUCUUUGAACGCACAUUGCGCCCUUUGGUAUUCCGAAGGGCAUGCCUGUUCGAGCGUCAUUAUCAACCUUCAAACUAUAUGUUUGUAGUUGGGUCAUGUUUUAGAUCCCUAAAACAGACCCCAAAGACAAUGAUGGUAUCUAUAUGGAUGUGAUACAAUGAGCUUUUUAAGCACGUAUCUUAGCUAUAUCGAUCACUGUCGACAACCACAUCUCCUCAAUGGUUGACCUCGGAUCAGGUAGGAAUACCCGCUGA